RNAcentral lists this ribosomal RNA (1532 nucleotides) under Enterobacteriaceae bacterium 9_2_54FAA. RNAcentral's name for it is "bacterial SSU rRNA". It matches the Rfam family "Bacterial small subunit ribosomal RNA". Lineage: Bacteria; Pseudomonadati; Pseudomonadota; Gammaproteobacteria; Enterobacterales; Enterobacteriaceae. The record is from RNAcentral.
AGAGUUUGAUCAUGGCUCAGAUUGAACGCUGGCGGCAGGCCUAACACAUGCAAGUCGAGCGGUAGCACAAGAGAGCUUGCUCUCUGGGUGACGAGCGGCGGACGGGUGAGUAAUGUCUGGGAAACUGCCUGAUGGAGGGGGAUAACUACUGGAAACGGUAGCUAAUACCGCAUGACGUCUUCGGACCAAAGUGGGGGACCUUCGGGCCUCACGCCAUCAGAUGUGCCCAGAUGAGAUUAGCUAGUAGGUGGGGUAAUGGCUCACCUAGGCGACGAUCUCUAGCUGGUCUGAGAGGAUGACCAGCCACACUGGAACUGAGACACGGUCCAGACUCCUACGGGAGGCAGCAGUGGGGAAUAUUGCACAAUGGGCGCAAGCCUGAUGCAGCCAUGCCGCGUGUAUGAAGAAGGCCUUCGGGUUGUAAAGUACUUUCAGCGAGGAGGAAGGCAUUAAGGUUAAUAACCUUAGUGAUUGACGUUACUCGCAGAAGAAGCACCGGCUAACUCCGUGCCAGCAGCCGCGGUAAUACGGAGGGUGCAAGCGUUAAUCGGAAUUACUGGGCGUAAAGCGCACGCAGGCGGUUGAUUAAGUCAGAUGUGAAAUCCCCGAGCUUAACUUGGGAACUGCAUUUGAAACUGGUCAGCUAGAGUCUUGUAGAGGGGGGUAGAAUUCCAGGUGUAGCGGUGAAAUGCGUAGAGAUCUGGAGGAAUACCGGUGGCGAAGGCGGCCCCCUGGACAAAGACUGACGCUCAGGUGCGAAAGCGUGGGGAGCAAACAGGAUUAGAUACCCUGGUAGUCCACGCUGUAAACGAUGUCGACUUGGAGGUUGUGCCCUUGAGGCGUGGCUUCCGGAGCUAACGCGUUAAGUCGACCGCCUGGGGAGUACGGCCGCAAGGUUAAAACUCAAAAUGAAUUGACGGGGGCCCGCACAAGCGGUGGAGCAUGUGGUUUAAUUCGAUGCAACGCGAAGAACCUUACCUACUCUUGACAUCCAGAGAAUUUGCUAGAGAUAGCUUAGUGCCUUCGGGAACUCUGAGACAGGUGCUGCAUGGCUGUCGUCAGCUCGUGUUGUGAAAUGUUGGGUUAAGUCCCGCAACGAGCGCAACCCUUAUCCUUUGUUGCCAGCGAAUAAUGUCGGGAACUCAAAGGAGACUGCCGGUGAUAAACCGGAGGAAGGUGGGGAUGACGUCAAGUCAUCAUGGCCCUUACGAGUAGGGCUACACACGUGCUACAAUGGCAUAUACAAAGAGAAGCGAACUCGCGAGAGCAAGCGGACCUCAUAAAGUAUGUCGUAGUCCGGAUUGGAGUCUGCAACUCGACUCCAUGAAGUCGGAAUCGCUAGUAAUCGUAGAUCAGAAUGCUACGGUGAAUACGUUCCCGGGCCUUGUACACACCGCCCGUCACACCAUGGGAGUGGGUUGCAAAAGAAGUAGGUAGCUUAACCUUCGGGAGGGCGCUUACCACUUUGUGAUUCAUGACUGGGGUGAAGUCGUAACAAGGUAACCGUAGGGGAACCUGCGGUUGGAUCACCU